Molecule: long non-coding RNA, 564 nt
Filed under: Equus asinus (donkey)
Lineage: Eukaryota; Metazoa; Chordata; Mammalia; Perissodactyla; Equidae
Description: lncRNA (ENSEASG00005023986.1, ENSEASG00020037693.1)
Source: RNAcentral
GAACAUUUUCUGAACCUUCUCAUCUAUUCCCUCACAUUUGCCUCUGGCGCUCUGCAAUCUUCCUCCUGGGAUGGUCUUGGUUUUCUCCCAGGACUUUCAUGUUUCUGGUUUUUCCUGUCCCCUCUAGUUGUAUCCCAUUUUCUCUUUCCCAUCUUGGGCAUAGCUGGCACUUGAUCGCAGUUCACUACCAACCCAGGCUGGUCCUGAACUUUGCUCCACAACCCAAUCUCUCUGUCAUGUACCUUCCUCCAGAUAAGGCAUUUGAAGAAAGUCUCCGGAAUGAUAUUUGAAGAAGAUAGGAAGCCUAAUAAGGAUGAGCACAGUUUGGAGUCAGUCAUACCUGGAUUUGAAAUCCAUCUUGCAUGUUACUAUGAUCUUGGAUGAAUCUCCAUAGCAUUUUACCAUUUUUGAGACCUCAGAUUAAUGGAAAUGAAGAGAACAUGGGACAUUAAACAGCUUGAAGAACCUAAUGAGGCACAAAGAAGCUGAUCAAUAAAAGUAUAAUGAAGCAAUUGAAUGAAUUCUUCCUGAUAUUAUUUUAUAGUCGAUCGACAAACACAUUUU